Mercenaria mercenaria is the source of this 1054-nucleotide long non-coding RNA. RefSeq lists it as uncharacterized. The transcript is spliced from 7 exons. Lineage: Eukaryota; Metazoa; Mollusca; Bivalvia; Venerida; Veneridae. The record is from RefSeq and is a predicted model, not a curated record.
GAUAUAUAAAUCAGCUGAUUUCGCGCGAAUUUUCACAUUUUUGUCUGACACGAUUGAUUUGACAGUAGAAAUUUUGCUUGGUGGUUUUUAACUGUAAUCAUCCGGCAUUUAUAUUGUGAUCUCAAAUCACUGGAGCAUGAUAUAUGUGAUGUGUAAUAAUAUAAGUUACUCCCCUUGGUUAUUUUCACACCAUUUGCACGUUGGUUUUCACUACGAAACCAGGGAUCAUGAGUUCGAGCCCGCGCUUCUUCAAAUAAAAUUACUAAUGAACAUUGGGAUAAGAAUCCCGCACAUGGGUCCUUUACUCCUGGCACGUUAUAUAACCAGGAAAACUCUGGAAUUGGAGUAUCCUCCUACUUAAUCUUUUGGACAUAGAGAAGAAGAAAAAUAUUUUAUAAGACUCUAAACUUUACAGUUUCUGGUCUACUCAAUAUACAGUUGAAAGGCGAAGUACUUGAAAAAGAUAAGGUUACAAUUGUACAAUAACGCUGGUGUCUUUCAAUCCUAUUUUGUCCAUAACGACCAGUUUCAAUUCUUAGAUUGUGGGAUGCAAGUCUCAACCUGGACAGAGGAAUGCGGAAUUUACAAGCAAGUCAAGGUUACUUUGAAGGUCUUGUGGAGUGUUACCAAAUACUACUAUGUCAUCAGCAAAUGGCAUUAGGAUAAAGAAAUGAAACGGUCAAUGAAUCCUAUCAAAUUAUCUGGGCUAUGCAGUUUUUAUAGUGGUUUCCUCACAGAAUGAUCCAGCGCUGAUGCAAGAUGGGUAAAUAAAAUGGCACUCAAGAAAUAUUUGAGUUUAUUCCGAGAGAGGCUAGAGGCUAUCAACAUCAAGAAGUUAGAGGGUCGUAAGGUACCCAUCUCAACUGGUUGAAGCUGCAACUGAUCUCUUGUCCUACACAGAUGAUAAUGAGUUGUCUGCAGUGGCAGAAAAGAUAGAAUUUGAUCUCAAGGAAUACACGUAUUAACAUUUUUCCAGUUUUCCAACCAACUGCGACUACUCCGGCACCUGCACCAAAAGAAAAGACUCUGCCAGAAAAGACUCCGCAACAGGCAG